GAUGAACGCUGGCGGCGUGCUUAACACAUGCAAGUCGAACGAUGAAGCCCAGCCUGCUGGGCGGAUUAGUGGCGAACGGGUGAGUAACACGUGAGUAACCUGCCCUUGACUCUGGGAUAAGCCCGGGAAACUGGGUCUAAUACCGGAUAGGAGCGCCUGUCGCAUGACGGGUGCUGGAAAGAUUUUUCGGUCAUGGAUGGACUCGCGGCCUAUCAGCUUGUUGGUGAGGUAACGGCUCACCAAGGCGACGACGGGUAGCCGGCCUGAGAGGGUGACCGGCCACACUGGGACUGAGACACGGCCCAGACUCCUACGGGAGGCAGCAGUGGGGAAUAUUGCACAAUGGGCGGAA
Molecule: ribosomal RNA, 352 nt
Filed under: Micrococcus luteus
Lineage: Bacteria; Bacillati; Actinomycetota; Actinomycetes; Micrococcales; Micrococcaceae
Description: bacterial SSU rRNA
Rfam family: Bacterial small subunit ribosomal RNA
Source: RNAcentral